AAUAAAAUUUUUCAACUCUUCUUUUGCAAUGAUUAGAGUUCAAUUUUUUUGCCCAGGGUCAUUUUUUGUUUUUUCUUUUCAAUCUGACAGUCAUUUAGGGAAUAGCUUAUUUCUUGUCUCCUUGGGUUUCGUAUGCCAGUGGAAUUAUCUUCUGAUAUCAAGUAUAUUGGGUGCUUUCCUUCCAAGGCCUUUCGUAAUGGUCAUUUCAUCUAACACUAUGAUUCCUGCUGCCAAAUG
RNAcentral lists this unclassified non-coding RNA (237 nucleotides) under Hevea brasiliensis (rubber tree). Lineage: Eukaryota; Viridiplantae; Streptophyta; Magnoliopsida; Malpighiales; Euphorbiaceae. The record is from RNAcentral.